ACGUACACUCCUGCGGGAGGCAGCAGUGGGGAAUAUUGGACAAUGGGCGCAAGCCUGAUCCAGCCAUGCCGCGUGAGUGAUGAAGGCCCUAGGGUUGUAAAGCUCUUUCACCGGUGAAGAUAGUGACGGUAACCGGAGAAGAAGCCCCGGCUAACUUCGUGCCAGCAGCCGCGGUAAUACGAAGGGGGCUAGCGUUGUUCGGAUUUACUGGGCGUAAAGCGCACGUAGGCGGACUAUUAAGUCAGGGGUGAAAUCCCGGGGCUCAACCCCGGAACUGGCUUUGAUACUGGUAGUCUUGAGUUCGAGAGAGGUGAGUGGAAUUCCGAGUGUAGAGGUGAAAUUCGUAGAUAUUCGGAGGAACACCAGUGGCGAAGGCGGCUCACUGGCUCGAUACUGACGCUGAGGUGCGAAAGCGUGGGGAGCAAACAGGAUUAGAUACCCCGGUAGUCCCAUGAU
RNAcentral lists this ribosomal RNA (456 nucleotides) under uncultured organism. RNAcentral describes it as "partial 16S ribosomal RNA". It matches the Rfam family "Bacterial small subunit ribosomal RNA", at positions 329 to 801 of the family's 1533-position model. The record is from RNAcentral.